Molecule: ribosomal RNA, 253 nt
Filed under: uncultured bacterium
Lineage: Bacteria
Description: partial 16S ribosomal RNA
Rfam family: Bacterial small subunit ribosomal RNA
Source: RNAcentral
UACGUAGGGGGCAAGCGUUGUCCGGAAUCAUUGGGCGUAAAGCGCGUGUAGGCGGUCCGGUAAGUCCGCUGUGAAAGUCGGGGGCUCAACCCUCGGAUGCCGGUGGAUACUGUCGGGCUUGAGUACGGAAGAGGCGAGUGGAAUUCCUGGUGUAGCGGUGAAAUGCGUAGAUAUCGGGAGGAACACCUGUGGCGAAGGCGGCUUUCUGGGCCUUACCUGACGCUGAGACGCGAAAGCGUGGGGAGCGAACCGG